AACGAACGCUGGCGGCAUGCCUAACACAUGCAAGUCGAACGAGACCUUCGGGUCUAGUGGCGCACGGGUGCGUAACGCGUGGGAAUCUGCCCUUGGGUUCGGAAUAACAGUUAGAAAUGACUGCUAAUACCGGAUAAUGUCUUCGGACCAAAGAUUUAUCGCCCAGGGAUGAGCCCGCGUAGGAUUAGCUAGUUGGUGAGGUAAAGGCUCACCAAGGCGACGAUCCUUAGCUGGUCUGAGAGGAUGAUCAGCCACACUGGGACUGAGACACGGCCCAGACUCCUACGGGAGGCAGCAGUGGGGAAUAUUGGACAAUGGCGAAAGCCUGAUCCAGCAAUGCCGCGUGAGUGAUGAAGGCCUUAGGGUUGUAAAGCUCUUUUACCCGGGAUGAUAAUGACAGUACCGGGAGAAUAAGCCCCGGCUAACUCCGUGCCAGCAGCCGCGGU
RNAcentral lists this ribosomal RNA (446 nucleotides) under uncultured bacterium. RNAcentral's name for it is "bacterial SSU rRNA". It matches the Rfam family "Bacterial small subunit ribosomal RNA", at positions 29 to 521 of the family's 1533-position model. The record is from RNAcentral.